GGUUAAGCGACUAAGCGUACACGGUGGAUGCCCUGGCAGUCAGAGGCGAUGAAGGACGUGCUAAUCUGCGAAAAGCGUCGGUAAGGUGAUAUGAACCGUUAUAGCCGGCGAUGUCCGAAUGGGGAAACCCAGUGCAAUUCGUUGCACUAUCGUUUGAUGAAUACAUAGUCAAACGAGGCGAACCGGGGGAACUGAAACAUCUAAGUACCCCGAGGAAAAGAAAUCAACCGAGAUUCCCCCAGUAGCGGCGAGCGAACGGGGAGCAGCCCGGAGUCUGAAUCAGCUUGUGUGUUAGUGGAAGCGUCUGGAAAGUCGCAGGGUACAGGGUGAUACUCCCGUACACUAAAACGCACAGGCUGUGAACUCGAAGAGUAGGGCGGGACACGUGGUAUCCUGUCUGAAUAUGGGGGGACCAUCCUCCAAGGCUAAAUACUCCUGACUGACCGAUAGUGAACCAGUACCGUGAGGGAAAGGCGAAAAGAACCCCGGCGAGGGGAGUGAAAAAGAACCUGAAACCGUGUACGUACAAGCAGUAGGAGCCUCUUUAUGGGGUGACUGCGUACCUUUUGUAUAAUGGGUCAGCGACUUAUAUUCUGUAGCAAGGUUAACCGUAUAGGGGAGCCGCAGGGAAACCGAGUCUUAACUGGGCGUUAAGUUGCAGGGUAUAGACCCGAAACCCGGUGAUCUAGCCAUGGGCAGGUUGAAGGUUGGGUAACACUAACUGGAGGACCGAACCGACUAAUGUUGAAAAAUUAGCGGAUGACUUGUGGCUGGGGGUGAAAGGCCAAUCAAACCGGGAGAUAGCUGGUUCUCCCCGAAAGCUAUUUAGGUAGCGCCUCGUGAACUCAUCUUCGGGGGUAGAGCACUGUUUCGGCUAGGGGGUCAUCCCGACUUACCAACCCGAUGCAAACUACGAAUACCGAAGAAUGUUAUCACGGGAGACACACGGCGGGUGCUAACGUCCGUCGUGAAGAGGGAAACAACCCAGACCGCCAGCUAAGGUCCCAAAGUCAUGGUUAAGUGGGAAACGAUGUGGGAAGGCCCAGACAGCCAGGAUGUUGGCUUAGAAGCAGCCAUCAUUUAAAGAAAGCGUAAUAGCUCACUGGUCGAGUCGGCCUGCGCGGAAGAUGUAACGGGGCUAAACCAUGCACCGAAGCUGCGGCAGCGACACUAUGUGUUGUUGGGUAGGGGAGCGUUCUGUAAGCCGUUGAAGGUGGCCUGUGAGGGUUGCUGGAGGUAUCAGAAGUGCGAAUGCUGACAUAAGUAACGAUAAUGCGGGUGAAAAACCCGCACGCCGGAAGACCAAGGGUUCCUGUCCAACGUUAAUCGGGGCAGGGUGAGUCGACCCCUAAGGCGAGGCCGAAAGGCGUAGUCGAUGGGAAACAGGUUAAUAUUCCUGUACUCGGUGUUACUGCGAAGGGGGGACGGAGAAGGCUAUGUUGGCCGGGCGACGGUUGUCCCGGUUUAAGCAUGUAGGCGGAUGUUCCAGGUAAAUCCGGAACGUUAUUAACGCUGAGGUGUGAUGACGAGGCACUACGGUGCUGAAGUGACAAAUGCCCUGCUUCCAGGAAAAGCCUCUAAGCAUCAGGUAACAUCAAAUCGUACCCCAAACCGACACAGGUGGUCAGGUAGAGAAUACCAAGGCGCUUGAGAGAACUCGGGUGAAGGAACUAGGCAAAAUGGUGCCGUAACUUCGGGAGAAGGCACGCUGAUAUGUAGGUGAAGUGGUUUACCCAUGGAGCUGAAAUCAGUCGAAGAUACCAGCUGGCUGCAACUGUUUAUUAAAAACACAGCACUGUGCAAACACGAAAGUGGACGUAUACGGUGUGACGCCUGCCCGGUGCCGGAAGGUUAAUUGAUGGGGUUAUCCGUAAGGAGAAGCUCUUGAUCGAAGCCCCGGUAAACGGCGGCCGUAACUAUAACGGUCCUAAGGUAGCGAAAUUCCUUGUCGGGUAAGUUCCGACCUGCACGAAUGGCGUAAUGAUGGCCAGGCUGUCUCCACCCGAGACUCAGUGAAAUUGAACUCGCUGUGAAGAUGCAGUGUACCCGCGGCAAGACGGAAAGACCCCGUGAACCUUUACUAUAGCUUGACACUGAACACUGGUCCUUGAUGUGUAGGAUAGGUGGGAGGCUUUGAAGUGUGGACGCCAGUCUGCAUGGAGCCAUCCUUGAAAUACCACCCUUUAAUGGCUGGUGUUCUAACGUGGGCCCCUAAUCGGGGUUGCGGACAGUGUCUGGUGGGUAGUUUGACUGGGGCGGUCUCCUCCUAAAGAGUAACGGAGGAGCACGAAGGUCAGCUAAUCCUGGUCGGACAUCAGGAGGUUAGUGCAAUGGCAUAAGCUGGCUUGACUGCGAGCGUGACGGCGCGAGCAGGUGCGAAAGCAGGUCAUAGUGAUCCGGUGGUUCUGAAUGGAAGGGCCAUCGCUCAACGGAUAAAAGGUACUCCGGGGAUAACAGGCUGAUACCGCCCAAGAGUUCAUAUCGACGGCGGUGUUUGGCACCUCGAUGUCGGCUCAUCACAUCCUGGGGCUGAAGUAGGUCCCAAGGGUAUGGCUGUUCGCCAUUUAAAGUGGUACGCGAGCUGGGUUUAGAACGUCGUGAGACAGUUCGGUCCCUAUCUGCCGUGGGCGCUGGAGAAUUGAGGGGGGCUGCUCCUAGUACGAGAGGACCGGAGUGGACGCAUCACUGGUGUUCGGGUUGUCAUGCCAAUGGCAUUGCCCGGUAGCUAAAUGCGGAAGAGAUAAGUGCUGAAAGCAUCUAAGCACGAAACUUGCCCCGAGAUGAGUUCUCCCUGACUCCUUGAGAGUCCUGAAGGAACGUUGAAGACGACGACGUUGAUAGGCCGGGUGUGUAAGCGCAGCGAUGCGUUGAGCUAACCGGUACUAAUGAACCGUGAGGCUUAACCUU
Molecule: ribosomal RNA, 2907 nt
Filed under: Klebsiella grimontii
Lineage: Bacteria; Pseudomonadati; Pseudomonadota; Gammaproteobacteria; Enterobacterales; Enterobacteriaceae
Description: 23S ribosomal RNA
Rfam family: Bacterial large subunit ribosomal RNA
Source: RNAcentral